UAGGGAAUCUUCGGCAAUGGACGAAAGUCUGACCGAGCAACGCCGCGUGAGUGAAGAAGGUUUUCGGAUCGUAAAACUCUGUUGUUAGAGAAGAACAAGGACGUUAGUAACUGAACGUCCCCUGACGGUAUCUAACCAGAAAGCCACGGCUAACUACGUGCCAGCAGCCGCGGUAAUACGUAGGUGGCAAGCGUUGUCCGGAUUUAUUGGGCGUAAAGCGAGCGCAGGCGGUUUCUUAAGUCUGAUGUGAAAGCCCCCGGCUCAACCGGGGAGGGUCAUUGGAAACUGGGAGACUUGAGUGCAGAAGAGGAGAGUGGAAAUCCAUGUGUAGCGGUGAAAUGCGUAGAUAUAUGGAGGAACACCAGUGGCGAAGGCGGCUCUCUGGUCUGUAACUGACGCUGAGGCUCGAAAGCGUGGGGAGCAAACAGG
RNAcentral lists this ribosomal RNA (429 nucleotides) under Gemmatimonadota bacterium. RNAcentral describes it as "Gemmatimonadetes bacterium partial 16S ribosomal RNA". It matches the Rfam family "Bacterial small subunit ribosomal RNA", at positions 355 to 776 of the family's 1533-position model. The record is from RNAcentral. Lineage: Bacteria; Pseudomonadati; Gemmatimonadota.